This is a long non-coding RNA of Monomorium pharaonis (pharaoh ant), 1238 nucleotides long. RefSeq lists it as uncharacterized. The record is from RefSeq and is a predicted model, not a curated record. Lineage: Eukaryota; Metazoa; Arthropoda; Insecta; Hymenoptera; Formicidae. The transcript is spliced from 2 exons.
GGUUAACGCAUAAGACAUAAAUAGCGAAUUCGGUUGCUUGCACUGGUGCGCACUAAGGCUUGUUUACAUACUUUACAUCAGUAUUCUUAUAUUUAAGAAUACAUGUUCAAAAACUAUUUAACCGAAAAAAUACUUCUAUGGAUGUUGUACAGAUCAUUUUACUGGUUAAGAAGUAUUUUAAGAAGAAUUUAAGAUGAUUCUUAAAUAUAAAAAUUGACAAUAAACAAGCCUUAAUAUACACUCAGUGCGCAUUAGUGCAAGCAACCGAAUUCGCUAAAGCCCGUAUCAGACUAAUGAUUGGGAUUGAGAUUGGAUUGAAAUUUGACGAAUCAGAACAAAGUUUUUAAAACUUUUGCUUAAUUUACUUGCUCUGAUUGGUUAGAUUUCGUUCCAAUCUCAAUCUCAAUCGUUAGUCUGAUACAGACUUUAUAGUACAUAACCGUUGCAUGGCAACUAGAGACCCUAAGGCUGAAAUCACAUGGUGCGGAAUAGAGCUGCGGAAUAGAGCUGCGGAAUAGAAAGUGCGUCAUAGAAGCAACCAAUCCGAGCUAUUUCGCAUUUUCUGUUCCGCAAAUGUUUAACCGGCCUGUUCCCAUGGUGCGUCAUAGACGGGCAAUGACGCAUCCAGAAUGAAAAUUAUAGAUGUAAUACAACUUUUAUUAAAUAAAUCAAACGUUUUUAUAAAAUGUAAUAUUUGUAAUAGCAAUAAUAGCAUUAAUAUAAUAUUAUAUGAAAUUUUGUAUUAAAUAUUAAAAAGUUGAAAACAAUAUUUUUGAAUUUUUGAACAGCAUCAACGCAUUCUGAUGCGGUAAAGCUCUGAUUGGCUGCUUCUAUGACGCACGUUCUAUUCCGCAGCUCUAUUCCGCAUCAUGUGAUUUCAGCCUAAGGGUUCUGGCAGACAAGCGCAAUUUCCGUCGCGCGCGACGCGCGAUAUCCAAUGGACGUACAGAGAUGGGCGGAAAGGCGGUCGCUCAUUGGACAUCGCGCGUCGCGCGCGACAGAAUCCGCGCUGGUCUGCUAGAGCCAUAAUGGCUCUCGCACACUAGACGCAAUAAGCGACAAGCGAUGAGAGAUAUCCAAUGAGAGCUCUACAUUUGUGAACAUUUCAUCGCCAUCACAGUUUAGUUAUAACCAGUUACGACAGUACAGUCGGAACCUUUGAUGUUUAUGUUACCUAGUCACGUGACCAUCCGCCAUGUUUUGGAUUGUAAGAAAGCGCGUUAUUCGAAGAUAUAAAA